Molecule: ribosomal RNA, 543 nt
Filed under: Triticum aestivum (bread wheat)
Lineage: Eukaryota; Viridiplantae; Streptophyta; Magnoliopsida; Poales; Poaceae
Description: partial small subunit ribosomal RNA
Source: RNAcentral
AUGAGUUGGAACUAUCGAGGGUUUGGGAACCCAAUGACAGUUCGAGAGCUUCGCAAGAUUGUGAAGCAAGAAGGCCCGGCCCUUCUCUUUGUCGUGGAAACAAAGAUUAGGGGGGGAAGAGUUGAAAGUUUGCAAGAUCAGUUGGGCUUUGCAUGUAGUUUUGCUGUUGAUAGCAAUGGCAUCAAUCGAGGAAUUGCUUUGUUCUGGAGUGAUGAAAUACAUGUGGAACUCAAGAACUAUAGCCAAGCACACAUUGAUGUCACGAUCAGGAGGAAGCACUAUGACCAGCCUCCUUGGCAGUUUAUUAGUUUUUACGGGGAACCAAGAGCAGAGAACGGACACCAUACCUGGGAAUUCCUUCAUAUUUUGUUUGCAAAAAGGCAUGAUGGGUGGCUAUGUAUGGGUUAUUUCAAUGAGAUCUUGUUUGCAGAAGAACAUUUCAGCAUGCACACAAGACCGGCAUGGCAGAUGCACGCUUUCCGUGACACUAUCGACCUUUGCUCUCUUCAAGAUCUAGGUUGGAGAGGAGUUCCGUUUACCUAG